Molecule: long non-coding RNA, 2488 nt
Filed under: Gossypium raimondii (Peruvian cotton)
Lineage: Eukaryota; Viridiplantae; Streptophyta; Magnoliopsida; Malvales; Malvaceae
Description: long non-coding RNA (GRAI_LNC001860)
Source: RNAcentral
UUCACUAGUCUAAGUAGCUUUUUUGGGUUUGCUUGUAUAUAUGUUACUUGCAUUUUUUGAAAUUUGUAGGUGUUUAUGGAAUUUGUGCUAGGUAAUAUUUGCUGCACUUGCGGUUACAAAUUUGCUUCGAUUUGUGCUCCAAUUUGCACCUUCAAUUGCCUUUGGCGGACUGCUAUCUGCUCCUAGUUGUGGUUGCCAUUUUCUUCAAAUUAUUGCUGCCAUUGAUGCUAUUGUAUUUCCUGCCUAAACUCCUUUACUUCACUACUACCAAUUAUUUGCUUUAAGGUUAGUUUAUUAAUAGAUUUUUUCUUUCUUUCUAUUAAAAAGAAUUGAUGUUGUUAUUGAUUGGUUUGGUUGGAUUAGAAUAAUUAAAGUUAUUGUCGACUGAGUGUUAGUUCGGUUAGCAUUGACAUUGUUACCUAUACAGAAAGAUGUGGGUUCGAACGUGCUGAAACGUAUUUAUCCUCCUAUUUAAGACUUGGGAGGAACUAUAGUUAGUUCUAGGUUAAUUUAAUUUAGAUUAAUUAUAUUGUUAAGGUUUAUUCUAUAGGAAAUACGAUUUAGAUUAGUCUAAUGUUAGUUUUUGUAAGAAAAUCAAUCUUACACAUCUAUGUUUUGCAGAUGGCUUGCUUAUUUUUGUGAAAGGUAGGGUGGAUUCUAUUGUAGGAGUUAAGUGCUUAAUAGAGCAAUUUUAUAAAGUUUUUCAGGAUUGCAGUUAAAUUCUUCAAAGAGUGAAGUGUUGGUCGGCUGGAAUGGUUGAUUCACAAUUGCAGGAAGUUAAAGAGAGGAGUGGAUUUAGCUUGGGUCAGCUACCUGUGAGAUAUCUUGGAGUCCUUGUUACCAGUUAAUUUACGGAGAAAGCUUGUGCACCCCUUUUAGAUAAAAUUUCUUUCCUACGCAAGUAGAGUGCAACUUAUUCAAGCUAUACAUUUUAAUGUACAGAACUUUUGGGUUAGGCACUCUAUCCUUCUCAUAGCAAUAAUUAAGAAGACCAAUCAAUUGUGUCAGAAAUUCUUAUGGGAGAGGAAUGGAGUUAAUAUGCAUAUUAUGGGCCGGGCCGGGUCGGGUUAGGUUUGAAGCAAAAUUUUAGGUUUGCUUUCUAGAUUUGGGUUCUGCCCAAAACAUGAGUUUAACAUUCUGUCUAAGCUUGACUUAAAUUAAAAAUGCUAAAUCCGAGUCCAACCCACUCGUAAUAAUUUUUUUAGUUUAUUUUUUUAUAUAAAAAUAUAUUAAAAAAAUAUAAUAUAUCAAAUACAAUUAAAAAAUUUAUGCUAAAAUAACACUAAGAUAAUUGCAACUUAGCAAGUAAAUAUCUUUAAAAUAGUAGCAAAACAAUAAAAUAUUAUCAAUAUAUUAAUGAAAUGGUAGCAGAACAAUAGGAAAAAAAAGUUUAGGCUUAUUCAAGUUGGGCCGGGCUCAGGCUCAGACCAAAAGCAUCCUACUCGAGGCCUAACUUAUUUAAAAAUAAACCUUAUUUUUCGUUCAAGCUUAUUUUUUAAACCUGUAUUUUUAUUCAAACUCUCUCACUUUUCGAAUAAAUGGUCCAGGUCAUGAUCAAGUCUAGAAUCAACUACUGAGUUGCUAUAUGGUUUGUAAACCGAAAUGAGAGGGAGGUCUUGGACUUAAGGCCCUUCUAAGUUGGAAUCAAGCCUGCAUUAUUCAACACAUUUGGGCUGUUCUAAUGCAAGCGAGGUCUUUGUGGAACUGCUUGGAUAAGGGCAUAUGUCUUGAAAGGGAGGAGUUUGAUGCAAAUAUCUUGCACGCAAAAUAGUAGUUGGAGCUGGAAGAAAUUAAUGAAACUAAGGCACUUGGUAUAGGGAAUGGAAACAUAGAAAGGCAUUAUUUAGUUGGUAAACUGAAAUGAAUUAAGGCCAAAAGCUAGGAAGGUUUUGUGGAGGAAGUUAAUCUGGUUUCCACUUUACAUCCUUAAACAUUCAAUGGUGGCUUGGAUGACAAUUCUAAAUAAGUUGCCAACAAAGGAUGGGCUACUUGCAUGGGGCUGGACAGUUGAUGAUAGGUGUCAACUAUGUUUUGUGAAAAAGGAGACAGAAUCAUCAUAUUUUCUUUUUUGUGUGCUUAUUCAAGAACAAUAUGACCGAUGAUUUUGCAGGUGUGUUCACUUCAUAGCCAAGUUAUGAAUUGGGAUCAGGGGCUGCAAUGGACUAGCACCGAACUUAAAGGAACAGCAUUCUUAUUUCUUAGCCAUAUUAUUGAGAUUGGCAUGGUCAACAUACAUUAAUUCAAUAUGGAGGGAGAGGAACCAACGACAGUUUGGAAGUGAGCAGAGAUCUAAGAAUGCUCUGCUUGAGGAAAUUAAAAAGGUUAUAAGAUUGAGACUAACUGGGGUAAGAAUUAGCAUGAAUAAUCUUAUUAUUAGCCAGCUGUAUAUUGUAUAAGUUUUUUUUUUUUUUCUAUAGAAUGCUCCGUUUGUAACAUGACACUCUUUUUUGUUAAUUAAAAUUUCAUUUAGGUACAAUUUACUUAAAAA